CAGUCCGUGGGACCCCCAAGUUGGGGGGCUGGAGUGGGGCCGGCCGUGGCUGCCCCACACUUGGGGGGCUGGAGUGGGUCAGGCCGGCCGUGGGUCCCGCCGUGGGUCCCGCCGUGGGGCUCGCUGUGGGGCUGGCCGUGGGUCCCGUUGUGGGUCUCGCUGUGGGUCUCGCUGUGGGGCUCACUGUGGGUCCCUCUGUGGGUCUCGCUAUGGGUCCCGCCGUGGGUCCCGCUGUCGGUCUUGCCGUGGGUCUCGCUCUGGGUCACGCCGUGGGGCUGGCCGUGGGUCUCGCUGUGGGUCUCACCGUGGGUCCCGCUAUGGGGCUCGCCGUGGGUCCCACUGUGGGUCUUGGUGGGGGGCUCGCUGUGGGGCUGGCCAUGGGUCCCGCUGUGGGUCUCUCUGUGGGUCUUGUUAUGGGGCUGGCCAGAGGUCCCGCCGUGGGUCCCGCUAUGGGUCACGCCGUGGGUCUCGCCGUGGGUCCCGCUAUGGGUCCGGCCGCCCUCACCCCACAGCUCCCUCCGUGGGUCACCCCCAGCCCCACUUAUGGGGCAGCCGUGGGGCUGGGCGCCGGGAGGGAGCCGAGGGGCGAGGAGGGGGCCACGGGACCGCCACGGGACCACCACGGGACCGCCAUGGGGCCGCUGUGGGGCAGCCGUGGGGCAGCCGUGGGGCAGCCGUGGGGCAGCCGUGGGUCACUGUGGGGCGGGGGUCGGCGCCGUGGGGCUGAGCUCGGCCGAGAGCGCGUCGAAGGCCUGCAGCAUGGCGCCGCGCACCCGCUCCGUCAGCGCCGGGACGUCCGCGGGGCCCAGCCCCUGCGUGGGCAGCGGGGGCAGCACCUGGAUCACGCACUGCCCUAGAGAUAGG
This 864-nucleotide long non-coding RNA is filed under the name Anas platyrhynchos platyrhynchos (common mallard). RNAcentral's name for it is "lncRNA (ENSAPLG00000027249.1)". Lineage: Eukaryota; Metazoa; Chordata; Aves; Anseriformes; Anatidae. The record is from RNAcentral.